CUGGCGGCGUGCCUAAUACAUGCAAGUCGUACGCUUCUUUUUCCACCGGAGCUUGCUCCACCGGAAAAAGAAGAGUGGCGAACGGGUGAGUAACACGUGGGUAACCUGCCCAUCAGAAGGGGAUAACACUUGGAAACAGGUGCUAAUACCGUAUAACAAUCGAAACCGCAUGGUUUUGAUUUGAAAGGCGCUUUCGGGUGUCGCUGAUGGAUGGACCCGCGGUGCAUUAGCUAGUUGGUGAGGUAACGGCUCACCAAGGCCACGAUGCAUAGCCGACCUGAGAGGGUGAUCGGCCACAUUGGGACUGAGACACGGCCCAAACUCCUACGGGAGGCAGCAGUAGGGAAUCUUCGGCAAUGGACGAAAGUCUGACCGAGCAACGCCGCGUGAGUGAAGAAGGUUUUCGGAUCGUAAAACUCUGUUGUUAGAGAAGAACAAGGAUGAGAGUAACUGUUCAUCCCUUGACGGUAUCUAACCAGAAAGCCACGGCUAACUACGUGCCAGCAGCCGCGGUAAUACGUAGGUGGCAAGCGUUGUCCGGAUUUAUUGGGCGUAAAGCGAGCGCAGGCGGUUUCUUAAGUCUGAUGUGAAAGCCCCCGGCUCAACCGGGGAGGGUCAUUGGAAACUGGGAGACUUGAGUGCAGAAGAGGAGAGUGGAAUUCCAUGUGUAGCGGUGAAAUGCGUAGAUAUAUGGAGGAACACCAGUGGCGAAGGCGGCUCUCUGGUCUGUAACUGACGCUGAGGCUCGAAAGCGUGGGGAGCAAACAGGAUUAGAUACCCUGGUAGUCCACGCCGUAAACGAUGAGUGCUAAGUGUUGGAGGGUUUCCGCCCUUCAGUGCUGCAGCUAACGCAUUAAGCACUCCGCCUGGGGAGUACGACCGCAAGGUUGAAACUCAAAGGAAUUGACGGGGGCCCGCACAAGCGGUGGAGCAUGUGGUUUAAUUCGAAGCAACGCGAAGAACCUUACCAGGUCUUGACAUCCUUUGACCACUCUAGAGAUAGAGCUUCCCCUUCGGGGGCAAAGUGACAGGUGGUGCAUGGUUGUCGUCAGCUCGUGUCGUGAGAUGUUGGGUUAAGUCCCGCAACGAGCGCAACCCUUAUUGUUAGUUGCCAUCAUUCAGUUGGGCACUCUAGCAAGACUGCCGGUGACAAACCGGAGGAAGGUGGGGAUGACGUCAAAUCAUCAUGCCCCUUAUGACCUGGGCUACACACGUGCUACAAUGGGAAGUACAACGAGUCGCGAAGUCGCGAGGCUAAGCUAAUCUCUUAAAGCUUCUCUCAGUUCGGAUUGUAGGCUGCAACUCGCCUACAUGAAGCCGGAAUCGCUAGUAAUCGCGGAUCAGCACGCCGCGGUGAAUACGUUCCCGGGCCUUGUACACACCGCCCGUCACACCACGAGAGUUUGUAACACCCGAAGUCGGUGAGGUAACCUUUUGGAGCCAGCCGCCUAAGGUGGGAUAGAUG
This 1465-nucleotide ribosomal RNA is filed under the name Enterococcus sp. Its description in RNAcentral is "bacterial SSU rRNA". It matches the Rfam family "Bacterial small subunit ribosomal RNA". The record is from RNAcentral. Lineage: Bacteria; Bacillati; Bacillota; Bacilli; Lactobacillales; Enterococcaceae.